AAAGAAUUCCGUUGCGUUGCAGUUUAUUGAGCUCCAUCGAGAAGUGUGACGAAGAAGGCCGUUAAUAAUUCAACUACUUAAAGAAUACGGGUUAGAUAUGGACAACGACUUCGAAGACAUUUGCAGUAGGCUAAACAGAGAAAGAGAGGGAGACCCAAAACUACCUGUCCUGGCAUCACAUUUGAGGAGAAGAAGUCGGUGAAUAUGACCUAGCCCGGGGGAGUUUCCAGAAGAAGGCCCAGAACCACCGGCCGCCAGGAGUGGAGGUCCUUUGUUGUUGCUCUACAUGUCAGGAGGCAUCGGGCAGUAGCCCUGGUAGAAGCACCAUCUUGAUACUAUCAUUCAAACUCUCAUCAGCUGUAUCAUUAA
Molecule: long non-coding RNA, 369 nt
Organism: Lytechinus pictus (painted urchin)
Lineage: Eukaryota; Metazoa; Echinodermata; Echinoidea; Temnopleuroida; Toxopneustidae
Exons: 3
Source: RefSeq, a predicted model, not a curated record